CGGCGUGCUUAACACAUGCAAGUCGAACGAUGAACCUCCUUCGGGAGGGGAUUAGUGGCGAACGGGUGAGUAACACGUGGGCAAUCUGCCCUUCACUCUGGGACAAGCCCUGGAAACGGGGUCUAAUACCGGAUAACACUGCGGAUCGCAUGGUCUGCGGUUGAAAGCUCCGGCGGUGAAGGAUGAGCCCGCGGCCUAUCAGCUAGUUGGUGGGGUGAUGGCCUACCAAGGCGACGACGGGUAGCCGGCCUGAGAGGGCGACCGGCCACACUGGGACUGAGACACGGCCCAGACUCCUACGGGAGGCAGCAGUGGGGAAUAUUGCACAAUGGGCGAAAGCCUGAUGCAGCGACGCCGCGUGAGGGAUGACGGCCUUCGGGUUGUAAACCUCUUUCAGCAGGGAAGAAGCGAAAGUGACGGUACCUGCAGAAGAAGCGCCGGCUAACUACGUGCCAGCAGCCGCGGUAAUACGUAGGGCGCAAGCGUUGUCCGGAAUUAUUGGGCGUAAAGAGCUCGUAGGCGGCUUGUCACGUCGGAUGUGAAAGCCCGGGGCUUAACCCCGGGUCUGCAUUCGAUACGGGCAGGCUAGAGUGUGGUAGG
Molecule: ribosomal RNA, 600 nt
Filed under: Streptomyces sp. YIM C496
Lineage: Bacteria; Bacillati; Actinomycetota; Actinomycetes; Kitasatosporales; Streptomycetaceae
Description: bacterial SSU rRNA
Rfam family: Bacterial small subunit ribosomal RNA
Source: RNAcentral